This 301-nucleotide ribosomal RNA is filed under the name uncultured bacterium. RNAcentral's name for it is "partial 16S ribosomal RNA". It matches the Rfam family "Bacterial small subunit ribosomal RNA", at positions 509 to 807 of the family's 1533-position model. The record is from RNAcentral.
CAGUCGCCGCGGUAAUACGUAGGUGGCAAGCGUUGUCCGGAAUUAUUGGGCGUAAAGGGCUCGCAGGCGGCUUCUUAAGUCUGAUGUGAAAGCCCCCGGCUCAACCGGGGAGGGUCAUUGGAAACUGGGAAACUUGAGUGCAGAAGAGGAGAGUGGAAUUCCACGUGUAGCGGUGAAAUGCGUAGAGAUGUGGAGGAACACCAGUGGCGAAGGCGACUCUCUGGUCUGUAACUGACGUUGAGGAGCGAAAGCGUGGGGAGCGAACAGGAUUAGAUACCCCAGUAGUCCCUGUCUCUUAUAC